GACGCGGCCACGAGGGGGCCGAGCAGGGAGCAGCGGCUGCGGCGGCGGGGAGGCUCCGGGGAGGUGCGUACUGGACUCCUUUUCUCCCGCGGCCUCCAAGGGAUCGAUUUGGGGAGCCGGGCUCUGGAGGGAGGGGGUGUUGUCGCUGGCUGCAGACGCCUACCCAAGCUGGGGUCCCUGUGCCCACGCGAACGGGACCCGGUUAAGCUUCCCUCGAGAACCCGCCCCUUUGCCGGGGCGCGGUGGUCAGGUGGUUUGCCCGCACAGCAACGACUCGCAGCCGCUCUCUCGGCCCGGCGCACCCUCCCAGGCUUUCCUUGGCAUGAUCCCCUUAAUUGUCCUAGCUCCAGCCUUCACCAAGCCGGCGUCCCUCAGGCCGGGGAGCGUGGCUCUCUUUCCAGAUGUUACAGCCUUGCCCGAGUCUCUCAGCGCGCCCGUGGCAUUUGGGUAGACCGCGGAGGCCCCAGAUGGAUAGCCAGAGGGUGCCACGUUCCUGCCGGGGCUCAUCCCAAAGUCUGGACAAUCAAACACCCAAGGAGAGCUCUGGAUGAAGUGUUGCCCACCCUUCCCCUCCCCCUCCUGCCCCCCCCCCCGCCCUGGCCAGUCACCAGACCCUGGACCUUGAUCUCUCUCCCCAACCAGGCCAGGGCAGCUGAUGAUUGUGGCCGAAAUAUCUCAAGGUAGCUGGGCCUGCCCCCUCUUCCCCACCUACCUGUUGUCCUUACCCCCAAACUACCACCACCCUGGCUCCACUCCCUCAUGACCGCCUGGAUCCUCCUUCCUGUCAGCCUGUCAGCCUUCUCCAUCACGGGCAUAUGGACUGUGUGAGUAAAAAGGGUGUGGGUUGAGGGGGGCCUAAUAGGAGUUUGAUGGCACACACAAAGUCCCUUGUCCUGUUUGUAGGCUCCAGAAUGGUACCCAGGGUCACUCUUUCUGUCUCCAAAGCUUGGCCCGAUUCCUGGGCACACAGUCUCUUGG
Molecule: long non-coding RNA, 978 nt
Filed under: Rattus norvegicus (Norway rat)
Lineage: Eukaryota; Metazoa; Chordata; Mammalia; Rodentia; Muridae
Description: long non-coding RNA NONRATT020560
Source: RNAcentral